CUCAAAGGAAUUGACGGGGGAGCACCACAACGGGUGGAGCUUGCGGUUUAAUUGGAUUCAACGCCGGAAAUCUUACCGGGACCGACAGCAAUAUGAAGGCCAGGCUGAAGACUUUGCCGGAUUAGCUGAGAGGUGGUGCAUGGCCGUCGUCAGUUCGUACUGUGAAGCAUCCUGUUAAGUCAGGCAACGAGCGAGACCCACGCCCACAGUUGCCAGCGUACUCUCUGGAGUGACGGGUACACUGUGGGACCGCCGCUGCUAAAGCGGAGGAAGGAAUGGGCAACGGUAGGUCAGUAUGCCCCGAAUAUCCCGGGCUACACGCGAGCUACAAUGGUUGGUACAAUGGGUAUCUACCCCGAAAGGGGACGGGAAUCUCCUAAAACCAAUCUUAGUUCGGAUUGAGGGCUGCAACUCGCCCUCAUGAAGCUGGAAUCCGUAGUAAUCGCGUUUCAACAGAACGCGGUGAAUACGUCCCUGCUCCUU
Molecule: ribosomal RNA, 483 nt
Filed under: uncultured Methanosaeta sp.
Lineage: Archaea; Methanobacteriati; Methanobacteriota; Methanomicrobia; Methanotrichales; Methanotrichaceae
Description: bacterial SSU rRNA
Rfam family: Archaeal small subunit ribosomal RNA
Source: RNAcentral